UACGUAGGUGGCAAGCGUUGUCCGGAAUUAUUGGGCGUAAAGCGCUCGCAGGCGGUCUUUUAAGUCUGAUGUGAAAUCUUGCGGCUUAACCGUAAGCGGUCAUUGGAAACUGGAGGACUUGAGUACAGAAGAGGAGAGUGGAAUUCCACGUGUAGCGGUGAAAUGCGUAGAGAUGUGGAGGAACACCAGUGGCGAAGGCGACUCUCUGGUCUGUAACUGACGCUGAGGAGCGAAAGCGUGGGGAGCAAACAGGAUUAGGAUA
Molecule: ribosomal RNA, 262 nt
Filed under: uncultured prokaryote
Description: partial 16S ribosomal RNA
Rfam family: Bacterial small subunit ribosomal RNA
Source: RNAcentral